GGAUCCAUUGGCUGGUACAGGAAGUGCGUCAUGGUGAAAGUGCUCUAUUUCUCUCAACGGUGGAGGCGAGGUGGUUGGAGAUUGCGCUUGGUGGAGUCGGUUAGCGUAAUCUGCCUGCAUCGGUUUACAGAUGCCUUGUUUUACGCAAUGGUGUCAUUCGAUCGUGAAUUUAAAGAUCUGCAGAUCUAACGGGCGGGAAACGGCAGGAAGUGAAAUCUCCAUGAAAGGAUUCAAAAAAAGACGACUGGAAUUGCAGCUGCAAUGACUCAAUUAGUGUACUUGGUGCUGAAAUCCGAACACUAUCUUCCAGAAACACAGCAUCUCAAAUACAACUAUCAAUUUCUAUAAAAUUUAAGUGCCAGGUUUUAUAAUGUAAAUUGUUUUUCUAGCUUUGUCUAUAUCUUUUAAAAACUUAGUAUUUAUUAAAUACUGGAUCUGUGAUUUAUAACAAGUGAGGUACAAUUGCCAAUCAUGUUACUUCAGCUGUUUUAAUUUAGAAAUAAAACUGACCUGUUACUA
Carcharodon carcharias (great white shark) is the source of this 519-nucleotide long non-coding RNA. RefSeq lists it as uncharacterized. The transcript has 3 exons. Lineage: Eukaryota; Metazoa; Chordata; Chondrichthyes; Lamniformes; Lamnidae. The record is from RefSeq and is a predicted model, not a curated record.